RNAcentral lists this ribosomal RNA (465 nucleotides) under uncultured bacterium. RNAcentral describes it as "partial 16S ribosomal RNA". It matches the Rfam family "Bacterial small subunit ribosomal RNA", at positions 339 to 795 of the family's 1533-position model. The record is from RNAcentral.
CUACGGGGGGCUCCAGUGAGGAAUUUUGCGCAAUGGGGGAAACCCUGACGCAGCAACGCCGCGUGAGUGAUGAAGGCCUUCGGGUCGUAAAACUCUGUCAAGUGGGAAGAACCUAUGUAAGGUUAAUACCCUUAUGUACUGACGGUACCACUGAAGGAAGCACCGGCUAACUCCGUGCCAGCAGCCGCGGUAAUACGGAGGGUGCAAGCGUUAUUCGGAAUUAUUGGGCGUAAAGGGCGCGCAGGCGGUUUUGUAAGUCAGAUGUGAAAGCCCGGGGCUUAACCUCGGAAGUGCAUUUGAUACUGCAAGACUUGAGUAUGGGAGGGGGAAGUGGAAUUCCUGGUGUAGGGGUGAAAUUCGUAGAUAUCAGGAGGAACACCAGUGGCGAAGGCGACUUCCUGGACCAAUACUGACGCUGAGGCGCGAAGGCGUGGGGAGCAAACAGGAUUAGAUACCCCAGUAGUC